RNAcentral lists this ribosomal RNA (465 nucleotides) under uncultured bacterium. RNAcentral's name for it is "partial 16S ribosomal RNA". It matches the Rfam family "Bacterial small subunit ribosomal RNA", at positions 339 to 795 of the family's 1533-position model. The record is from RNAcentral.
CUACGGGGGGCAGCAGUGGGGAAUAUUGGACAAUGGGGGAAACCCUGAUCCAGCGAUGCCGCGUGUGUGAAGAAGGCCUGCGGGUUGUAAAGCACUUUCGGUUGGGAGGACUGCUUCUAGCACUAAUAUUGUUGGAAGUUGACGUUACCUUCAGAAGAAGCACCGGCUAACUCCGUGCCAGCAGCCACGGUAAUACGGAGGGUGCAAGCGUUAAUCGGAAUUACUGGGCGUAAAGCGCGCGUAGGCGGCUAGAUCAGUCGGGUGUGAAAGCCCCGGGCUUAACCUGGGAACUGCAUCCGAUACUGUCUAGCUUGAGUACAGGAGAGGAGAGUGGAAUUCCACAUGUAGCGGUGAAAUGCGUAGAUAUGUGGAGGAACACCAAUGGCGAAGGCAGCUCUCUGGCCUGAUACUGACGCUGAGGUGCGAAAGCGUGGGGAGCAAACAGGAUUAGAUACCCUCGUAGUC